AACGAACGCUGGCGGCAGGCUUAACACAUGCAAGUCGAACGCGUGCAGCAAUGCACGAGUGGCGCACGGGUGAGUAACGCGUGGAUAUCUGCCUUUUGGUUCGGAAUAACCCCGGGAAACUGGGGCUAAUACCGGAUGGUUCCUACGGGAUAAAGAUUUAUCGCCAAAAGAUGAGUCCGCGUCCGAUUAGCUAGUUGGUGAGGUAAUGGCUCACCAAGGCGACGAUCGGUAGCUGGUCUGAGAGGACGAUCAGCCACACUGGGACUGAGACACGGCCCAGACUCCUACGGGAGGCAGCAGCGGGGAAUAUUGGACAAUGGGGGCAACCCUGAUCCAGCCAUGCCGCGUGAGUGAUGAAGGCCUUCGGGUUGUAAAGCUCUUUUGGCGGGGACGAUGAUGACGGUACCCGCAGAAUAAGCCCCGGCUAACUUCGUG
RNAcentral lists this ribosomal RNA (435 nucleotides) under uncultured bacterium. RNAcentral's name for it is "partial 16S ribosomal RNA". It matches the Rfam family "Bacterial small subunit ribosomal RNA", at positions 29 to 507 of the family's 1533-position model. The record is from RNAcentral.